CGUCUAAGGUCCCGAAGCGUGUGCUAAGUGGGAAAGGAUGUGGAGUCGCAUAGACAGCCAGGAGGUUGGCUCAGAAGCAGCCAUCCUUGAAAGAGUGCGUAACAGCUCACUGGUCUAGUGGUUCCGCGCCGACAAUGUAGCGGGGCUCAAGCACACCACCGAAGACGCGGCAGCAAUCUUCAUGGUUGCUGGGUAGGAGAGCGUCCUGCGAGGGGCGAAGCGGCGGUGGAAACCGGCCGUGGACUUCGUGGGAGUGAGAAUGCAGACAUGAGUAGCGAGAGACGGGUGAGGAUCCCGUCCGCUGGAUGACCAAGGGUUCCGGGGCCACGUUCGUCGUCCCCGGGUGAGUCGGGUCCUAAGGCGAGGCCGACAGGCGUAGUCGAAUGGAUGAACGGGUGGAUAUUCCCGUACCGACCAUGGACCGGCAAAACCGAGACGGUGAGUACUAACCUCCGCCUCGUGGUGGUUCCUUCCUUCGGGUUGGUAUCGCCGCGUGGUGUUGGGACCGUAGCCGUAGUAGGUCAGCGCAGGGGUGACACGGAAUGGGAGCCGGCCGCGGAGGUGGUUUUCCGUGGUCAAGCACGCAGCCAGUCAUGUAGGCAAAUCCGCAUGGCGCGCAUGGCGAGGUGUGAUGAUGGGAGCCUUUUGGGCUCGAUAUCCGGUUGUCCAGGCCGUCGAGAAAAGCCUCGGCGUGAGGGCCAUGGCCGCCCGUACCCCAAACCGACACUGGUGGUCAGGUAGAGAAUACCAAGGCGAUCGAGCGAAUCCUGGUCAAGGAACUCGGCAAAUCACUCCCGUGCCUUCGGUAUAAGGGAGACCCGCUGGGGUGAACCGGCUAGCCCGGGGAGCUUUGGUGGGUGGCACAGACCAGGGGGUAGCGACUGUUUACCAAAAACACAGGUGCAUGCGAAGGCGAAAGCCGCUGUAUAUGCACUGACGCCUGCCCGGUGCCGGAAGGUUAAGAGGAUCCGUCAGUCCUUCGGGAUGAAGCGGUGAAUUCAAGCCCCGGUAAACGGCGGUGGUAACUAUAACCAUCCUAAGGUAGCGAAAUUCCUUGUCGGGUAAGUUCCGACCUGCACGAAUGGCGUAACGACUUCCCCACUGUCUCGACCAGGAGCUCGGCGAAAUUGCAGUACGAGUAAAGAUGCUCGUUAAGCGCAGAAGGACGAAAAGACCCCGGGACCUUUACUAUACCUUGGUAUUGGCGUUAGGCGCGGAUUGUGUAGCAUAGGCGGGAGGCUUCGAAGCGUGGGCGCCAGCUCAUGUGGAGCCGCAAGGUGAAAUACCGCUCUGUUCUCGUUUGACGUCUAACCUCGACAAGUCAUCCUUGUCAGGGACAGUGCCUGGCGGGUAGUUCAACUGGGGCGGUUGCCUCCCAAAGAGUAACGGAGGCGCUCAAAGGUCCGCUCAGCCCGGUUGGCAAUCGGGUGUCGAGUGUAAUCGCACAAGCGGGCUUGACUGCGAGGACGACGGUCCGAGCAGGGACGAAAGUCGGAGAUAGUGAUCCGGUGCCGGCGCACGGGCGCGGCAUCGCUCAACGGAUAAAAGGUACCCCGGGGAUAACAGGCUGAUCAUUCCCAAGAGUCCAUAUCGACGGGAUGGUUUGGCACCUCGAUGUCGGCUCGUCGCAUC
Molecule: ribosomal RNA, 1632 nt
Filed under: human gut metagenome
Description: bacterial LSU rRNA
Rfam family: Bacterial large subunit ribosomal RNA
Source: RNAcentral